GACGUAGGAGGCGAGCGUUGUCCGGAUUCAUUGGGCGUAAAGGGCGCGUAGGUGGCUGGACAAGCGUGCGGUGAAAGCCUGGGGCUCAACCCCGGGUCGGCCGUGCGAACUGUUUUGCUUGAGCACUGUAGAGGCAGGCGGAAUUCCGGGUGUAGCGGUGGAAUGCGUAGAGAUCCGGAAGAACACCGGUGGCGAAGGCGGCCUGCUGGGCAGUAGCUGACACUGAGGCGCGACAGCGUGGGGAGCAAACAGG
Molecule: ribosomal RNA, 253 nt
Filed under: uncultured bacterium
Lineage: Bacteria
Description: partial 16S ribosomal RNA
Rfam family: Bacterial small subunit ribosomal RNA
Source: RNAcentral